AUCAUUAGUGGUCAGUUAACGUUUUGUGCUAACUUUGACAGGAUCUCUGCCAGACACCGCAGCUCACCAGUCACCUCCACCACAAGUGUGGACCCCGCUACAGAGACCACCACCACUCAUAAGCUUGAUCUAACAGGCGUUGACGAUCCAAAGGCCUGACUCCACAGCGGUAAUGAGCCUCGUCUACCUUGCACUUAACGGACAAUGCUCACUACCAACACCUCUGCCUCCCCCACCGCCACUGCCGCCGUUGAGGGAGACUGGCUGGAUGAGUGGGUGAUAGAGGCGAGGCAGGUGUGGUGAGGCGGAGGAUUGGAGACGAGAACCUACAGAUGACGGCAGACACGGAAGAUUCCACUUACCAGGAGUUGGUGAUCCGAAGCCGUGACUGCAGCGAUCCCGUGCGGCCUGCACCAUCAGGGAAGGACUCUCUCUGGCUUCGCACUGCGCCUACAUUGACCGUUGCCGCCGCUGCUACCGCUACUCGGAGGGGCACUGCCUCGCAUUGGUCCUUCACUGCCGUCCCGCUAAUACACGUGUCGCCGUCGCAGCUACUGGCACUGAGGGACUUCGCCUCGCAGCGGCCUGGCAAACACCUGCUACACCACCACCACUAACUCCACCACCGCAGUCCAGAGAUUCAGCUUCGCAUAGCAGACAUCCUCCUAUUCAACGCUUGCUGCCACUACCACCUCAUUAUGGUGGUGUCACUGUACUUGGAUCUGUUGUCACUACUGAAUAAUAAUGUGUAAAGAAA
RNAcentral lists this unclassified non-coding RNA (757 nucleotides) under Portunus trituberculatus (swimming crab). RNAcentral's name for it is "uncharacterized LOC123514309, transcript variant X6". Lineage: Eukaryota; Metazoa; Arthropoda; Malacostraca; Decapoda; Portunidae. The record is from RNAcentral.